This is a long non-coding RNA of Phacochoerus africanus (Common warthog), 1583 nucleotides long. RefSeq lists it as uncharacterized. Lineage: Eukaryota; Metazoa; Chordata; Mammalia; Artiodactyla; Suidae. The record is from RefSeq and is a predicted model, not a curated record. The transcript is spliced from 3 exons.
CGGUGUAUGAUGACAGGUGCUUUUCAGAACAAAGACAUUGGUGGAAGUGCGGGGACUGGGCUGGAGGGGCUCUGAAUCUUAAACUGGGCAAUGGAGACCCAAGGCACCCAGGAGGAGAUGCCUUAUGUCCUGGAAUGAUGGCCGUUAAAGCACACCUGUCAGGCACUCGCUAAGGGCAAGGCUCUGUACUGCUAUUAAGUCAAAUGUGACAGCUUUACCAUGUUGCAGCUGAGGCACAGAGAGGGUGAGCCCCUCAUGCAAGAUCACACAGCCCAGACCAUCCAUGGGCACAGUGCCGCCUCUUCGCCACGGGCCAUGCCUCCAGGAGAGCCCACGGAGCAAUCAGACACCAGCACAAAGCAUAUCUUACCGCCGGUGCCACCCUGGACCAUACAGAUCAUUGCCAGCAACUGUCUGGGACAUUUGCAGCUCACUUUACAGUUUGCAACCCAUCUUUGCCCAUAUCAUCUCCUGAGACCCUGUACACGCACUAGCCCUGCACGGCACCAACAGUUCUGCUUUUCAGACGUCAAGGGACCGACCCCAGCUCACGAGCUUAUAUCAAGAGCAAGAGUCAUAUCUGGGACUCACUCCUGGUCGGGCCAGCUGAUCCCACCUGGCUAGAGUGUGGCCCCUACGCACAGCUGCCACCGUUCCCUGAGCCUCUGCUAGGCCCCAGGCCCUUCUGCUGCCCCCUCCUCUUACUGGGUCGUCUGCCCCCCACCGUAUUGGCGUUCUGAGCCUUGCGUGGCAGAUGAGGCCGCUUGAAGCUCUGACUGCUGGAGUCACUUGCCCAAGGUCACCCAGAUGUUAGGUGGGGCUAUAAGCUUGACGGAGUCAGGCUGCAAAGCCUGCGCAUCUCCCUGCCACCCCCCACCCCACGCUGAGCAGGGGGCUGUGCAUCGAUUGAUGACGGAGCUGGCGCCUGUGUGGCUGCCCCCCAAUCCCAGCAGUUCUGCCCACCCUCUUCCUUCAUUCCGGAUGGCAGGUCCCAGGAAAAGCUCGUCUUAAAAGUGCAGAAGGCUUCCAGCGAAGCAGCCAGAUGACAUACCCGCUCUUCUCGGGAGCAGAACAGCCCUAGCGAGGAGGCACAAUGAGCCCUCAUUGUCCUCCAGCCUUUCAUCACGUCUGAUCCGCUUUCUCGGCAGACCUCCGCCGAAGCUAACUGGCAGAGAAAGACACAUAGCCUCCAUGGGGCCGCAGUCACGAGUGUCUUCCUGGACGUCUACACAGUCCAGCGGGGGGAGAAGGAGGAAGUCAGGACGGCUUCAUGGAAGAGGUGAUGUUUGAAUCAGGAGGAGACACUUGCCAAGAGGACAGGUGUCCUCGGAGCAAAGGGAACAGCAAGAAGUGAGGCAAGAGCCCAGCUGAGGGCCAGGACCACCACCUGGAGCUUCAAGAUCACAAAGGAGCCCACCUGGAGGAGGGCACUCGGGAGGGGUCGAGGCUGCCCGGUCCCAGCGGAGGCCUCGGGGACCCAGAUGUGCAGGCUCCAGGCAUGAAGCGCCUCCUGCCAAGCUGAUGGGAUUAGUUCGCAUGAUGACAGGCCCCCAAGGGCCCUGGCGGGAGGGCAGCAGGAGGAA